CAGAUAUUUCCUCGUGUGAACCCUUCACAAACUGCACCUACAAAUCAAAUUCAGCCAACAAACAUGUUGUCAUUAAUGAAUACGACCGGAAAAACAGUACCGGAUCCUGAAGCUCAACAGUACAAUUCUGUUGGCGGAACUGAUCAAGAGUUUGGUUAUCCACAGAAUCCAAACGUCUCUAACUCUUAUCCACCAACAUAUAUAAACGCCUAAUAAUGUAGAUCUCAAACACUAAUCAGUGUAGUUAAAGUAGUUGUUAUCUUUGAUAGAUUGAAGCAAUGAAUCGCUAGACAAAUGAGCCUCAUGAGGCGCCAUCCAGGUGAAAGUGGAUGAGGAUAAGAAAUGUGUACAGAUUA
RNAcentral lists this long non-coding RNA (356 nucleotides) under Mytilus galloprovincialis (Mediterranean mussel). Lineage: Eukaryota; Metazoa; Mollusca; Bivalvia; Mytilida; Mytilidae. The record is from RNAcentral.